GCAGACACAUUCCAGCCAAUCAGCAGCAGACCCUCCCUCCCAGACCCUCCCAUCUCCUGGACAGCUCACUAAGAAUGCAGCUUCACAAUGAAUGUAAAAUGGAUGCUGUCCAGGAGGUGGGAGGGUCUGGGAGGGAGGGUCUGCUGCUGAUUGGCUGGAAUGUGUCUG
This 168-nucleotide microRNA precursor is filed under the name Pelobates cultripes (western spadefoot toad). The record is from RNAcentral. Lineage: Eukaryota; Metazoa; Chordata; Amphibia; Anura; Pelobatidae.